UACGUAGGUGGCAAGCGUUGUCCGGAUUUACUGGGCGUAAAGAGCGUGUAGGCGGCCAGGCAGGUCUGUUGUGAAAACUGGAGGCUCAACUUCCAGACGUCGACAGAAACCGCUUGGCUAGAGUCCGGAAGAGGAGAGUGGAAUUCCUGGUGUAGCGGUGAAAUGCGCAGAUAUCAGGAAGAACACCGAUGGCGAAGGCAGCUCUCUGGGACGGUACUGACGCUGAGACGCGAAAGCGUGGGGAGCGAACAGG
Molecule: ribosomal RNA, 253 nt
Filed under: uncultured bacterium
Lineage: Bacteria
Description: partial 16S ribosomal RNA
Rfam family: Bacterial small subunit ribosomal RNA
Source: RNAcentral